This 372-nucleotide ribosomal RNA is filed under the name uncultured organism. RNAcentral describes it as "partial 16S ribosomal RNA". It matches the Rfam family "Bacterial small subunit ribosomal RNA", at positions 527 to 896 of the family's 1533-position model. The record is from RNAcentral.
GUAGGUGGCAAGCGUUGUCCGGAAUUAUUGGGCGUAAAGCGCGCGCAGGCGGUUCUUUAAGUCUGAUGUGAAAGCCCACGGGCUCAACCGUGGAGGGUCAUUGGAAACUGGAGAACUUGAGUACAGAAGAGGAAAGCGGAAUUCCACGUGUAGCGGUGAAAUGCGUAGAGAUGUGGAGGAACACCAGUGGCGAAGGCGGCUUUCUGGUCUGUAACUGACGCUGAGGCGCGAAGGCGUGGGGAGCAAACAGGAUUAGAUACCCUGGUAGUCCACGCCGUAAACGAUGAGUGCUAAGUGUUAGGGGGUUUCCGCCCCUUAGUGCUGCAGCUAACGCAUUAAGCACUCCGCCUGGGGAGUACGGCCGCAAGGCUG